UUGGGAAUGAGAGAGAUUGAGCGAAAGAGAUGAACCAAAAAGAAUGUUUAAGGUAAGAAACCCCUAGGGACAAAGAAAGUUAGAAAGGAAAAGCUCUAAAGUAUCAAUAGAACCCCCUCCCAAAUAUUAAAAAAAAAAGGGAAUCAAAUAAACAAUAGUUGAGUGGGGGAAGAGAAAAGAAAAGAGCUAAGUCUAAAAGUUUAAAUUCAAAAGAACAAGUCUCUAGUUAGUUAAAUCAAAGGAAAGAAAGAAAUGAAUGGUAGAACUUAAAGCUACUUAAGAAAAGGGUAGAAUGAUGAGAACAAUCAUUGUAUGCAUGAAUUGCUCAUUUUCUUAGAUAAAUUUUGCAUAAUGAUCUUGCUCAUAUUCUUGAGUGU
Molecule: long non-coding RNA, 377 nt
Filed under: Brassica napus (rape)
Lineage: Eukaryota; Viridiplantae; Streptophyta; Magnoliopsida; Brassicales; Brassicaceae
Description: long non-coding RNA (BNAP_LNC011776)
Source: RNAcentral